Molecule: ribosomal RNA, 522 nt
Filed under: Triticum aestivum (bread wheat)
Lineage: Eukaryota; Viridiplantae; Streptophyta; Magnoliopsida; Poales; Poaceae
Description: partial small subunit ribosomal RNA
Source: RNAcentral
AUGUCCUGCAAGAUGCGCGGCUGCGACAUGCCGGUGUUGGCGGCCACCCGCCCUGUGAUCUGCGAGGAGUGCCACAUGGACUGCGUCGCCGCCUCUGGCAACUGCCCAGGCUGCAAGGAGGCCUACUCCGCCGGCAGCGACACCGACGACUCCGUCGACGAGGACGACGACGACGCCAUCUCCUCGUCGGAGGAGAGGGACCAGAUGCCCAUGACAUCCAUGUCCAAGCGCUUCUCCAUGGUGCACUCCAUCAAGAUGCCCAUGCCCAGCAGCAACGGCAAGCCGACCGACUUCGACCACGCCCGGUGGCUCUUCGAGACCAAGGGCACCUACAGCUACGGCAACGCUCUAUGGCCCGAGAACGAGCACGGCGGCGGCGGCAACAGCGCUGGGGCCACCUCCGGAUUCGUCGGCAUCGAGGAGCCGCCCAACUUCGGUGCCCGCUGCUGCCGGCCCCUGACGAGGAAGACCAGCGUCUCUCAGGCCACACUCAGCCCAUACAGGUACCAAUUCCUCGUGUAA